CACAUCUAACAUGGAAAAAUGGCACAAUUGAGAUGAGAAUCUCAUUUGAAAGAAGAUACAACGUUACAGUUUGGGACAAAGCGGGACAGUUACUUUGUAAUUCAACAAACAAUUGGUGUUAUAUUGAGUGCUCCUAUAAUGAAUUAUUGGAAAACAAAAACUUCACACAAACAGAACAAUUCACAAUGAACCUGACAAUAAAUUAUCAGAACAACACGAGAGUUGACUUCAGUAUAAAUGACACAUCAAGCAGCUGUAUUCUGGUAGAUUGCUUGCCUGAUGACAUAAAAAAUCUCCUGGAUAUGAAAGCGACAACAAUGAAAAUGCCACAAGACAUGAGAAACAUUCUCAAUAUUAAAAGAAUGUGCAACGAUGUGGUCUUCAGUGACCCUGUUGUGAAUACCUACAUUGGAGUGGAAAAGAAAGCCAUCCAAAACAUUAUAAAUAUGAGUAUUCUGGAGCAAUCCAAGAGCUACUAUCAGGAGGAUCUUUCCAUCACUGUGGUUAAGAUGAAUCUAAGCAAGACAGAUGAUUUUUUAUCAAUCGCCGCUCCAAGUGUAAGACUCUUGCCCCAUAUUAUACAUGCCAAAAGUCCAAGCUGACAUAAUUCUGUAAGCUACUAAACUGCUGUAAGUGAUUUCUGCAACACUAGUAGUGCCCUUGGAAAAUUCUUCCUUUUCAUUUUUGUCCAUAGAGACUUUCAAGCAUUAAGCAAACUAAUCAGCUUUGAAGUUAAUCAUAUCAUUACAAAAUCUGGUUUUAAAUAAAGAAAAAAAAGAAGAAAAAAAAACAUUUUAAAACCUCACAAAAAUACAUUUGUACUUUGCCAAUAUAGUUGCUGUAAUGCUGGGAAGCAGAAGUGACAAGAGAAGGAAAUGCGCAUCUAGUUGCAGGAUGAUUUAUUAAACAAAUCAAGCAAAUACCAGGAGACAAACUAGGCAGGAUCACAGGCGCCGUCUACACUCAUUUAAGAACAACUGAAUCACAGAGGUUAUACACACUACUGACACGGUUAUAAGAUAACAAAACACACUUGAGGGAGACUAAUCAAGGGAAACUGACAACAAAGAGAGCACAAGAAACACUUCAAUAUACAAGUUCAGAGAAAUCACAGGGAACAUGUGACAGCUUUGGAGUUGAAGCCAUGACUUCCUUUCCAAGACUUGCCAUGUUGUGCAAUUGGUUAUGAACAUUUGAACAUUGCCUGAUAUUACACUGUUCAAGUCUGACACCACAAAGCAGGGUUACCACCUCAUAACCCAGGUAAAAUACGUUGCUAACCCCAUUUCUAAAUUACAAGUGUGAAACAUUCCCUUACCAGGGGAUAAAAGCAGGCUUAGAACAAUAGUCACCUGUGGUGUGAAAAGCCCUAUAGUAAUACAAUUACACUGUCUUGCUACAUAAGUCUUUGGAAGUAUUCUUGCAUACUGGCAGCUCUCGUAAAUUGCUGGUCUCUUUACAGUUUGCCUGUCUAUUUGAACAAUGUUUCAUAUAUAAGCAUGUAAAUGAUGGUGAC
This is a long non-coding RNA of Carassius carassius (crucian carp), 1516 nucleotides long. RefSeq lists it as uncharacterized. The record is from RefSeq and is a predicted model, not a curated record. Lineage: Eukaryota; Metazoa; Chordata; Actinopteri; Cypriniformes; Cyprinidae. The transcript is spliced from 3 exons.